ACCAGUGUAGCUCAGUGGUAGAGCGUGGGCCUCAUAUGCCUAAGGUCGUGAGUUCGAGCCUCACCAUCUGGUACCA
This 76-nucleotide transfer RNA is filed under the name bacterium. Its description in RNAcentral is "tRNA-Met". It matches the Rfam family "tRNA". Rfam says of the family: Transfer RNA (tRNA) molecules are approximately 80 nucleotides in length. The record is from RNAcentral.